UCUGCAUUGAUACAUCUGACUCCUGAAUGGUCCUUUGUUGCAUGUCUCAUUUUAUGCUGACAUCAUCACAGAAAUUCCACAACAGGAGCGUUUUCCGAGGUGUUUUCUGGU
Thalassophryne amazonica is the source of this 111-nucleotide long non-coding RNA. RefSeq lists it as uncharacterized. The record is from RefSeq and is a predicted model, not a curated record. Lineage: Eukaryota; Metazoa; Chordata; Actinopteri; Batrachoidiformes; Batrachoididae. The transcript is spliced from 3 exons.